UUGGAGGGCAAGUCUGGUGCCAGCAGCCGCGGUAAUUCCAGCUCCAAUAGCGUAUAUUAAAGUUGUUGCAGUUAAAAAGCUCGUAGUUGAAUUUCGGGGUCAGUAGGCUGGUCGUGCCACGGGUAUGUACUGGUCUCACUGAUUCCUCCCUCCUGAUGAACCGUAAUGCCAUUAAUUUGGUGUUGCGGGGAAACUGGACUGUUACUUUGAAAAAAUUAGAGUGUUUAAAGCAGGCUAACGCUUGAAUACAUUAGCAUGGAAUAAUGAAAUAGGACGUUCGAUCCUAUUUUGUUGGUUUCUAGGAUUGACGUAAUGAUUAAUAGGGAUAGUUGGGGGCAUUAGUAUUCAAUUGUCAGAGGUGAAAUUCUUGGAUUUAUUGAAGACUAACUACUGCGAAAGCAUUUGCCAAGGAUGUUUUCAUUAAUCAAGAACGAAAGUUAGGGGAUCGAAGACGAUCAGAUACCGUCGUAGUCUUAACCAUAAACUAUGCCGACUAGGGAUCGGAUGAUGUUAAUUUUUUAAUGACUCAUUCGGCGCCUUACGGGAAA
Molecule: ribosomal RNA, 548 nt
Filed under: uncultured Glomeromycotina
Lineage: Eukaryota; Fungi; Glomeromycota
Description: SSU rRNA
Rfam family: Eukaryotic small subunit ribosomal RNA
Source: RNAcentral